RNAcentral lists this unclassified non-coding RNA (238 nucleotides) under Mortierella pseudozygospora. RNAcentral's name for it is "partial internal transcribed spacer 2". RNAcentral also lists the same sequence under 2 other names. Lineage: Eukaryota; Fungi; Mortierellomycota; Mortierellomycetes; Mortierellales; Mortierellaceae. The record is from RNAcentral.
AACACCUCAAAUCCCUCUACUUGUUGGAGGAGUUUGGACUUGAGCAAUCCCAACUUUUCGAAAGAGAAGGCGGGUUGCUUGAAAUGCAGGUGCAGCUAGAUUCUUUCUUCUGAGCUAUAAGCAUACUUAUUUAAUCCCGUCAAACGGAUUAUUACUUUUGCUGCAGCUAACAUAAAGGUUGAAGAGUCGCUAUGGCUGACUGAUGCAGGAUUUAACAUGUCGCGCAAGCGAUCUGUAA